CCAGACUCCUACGGGAGGCAGCAGUGAGGAAUAUUGGUCAAUGGGCGCGAGCCUGAACCAGCCAAGUCGCGUGAGGGAGGACGGCCCUACGGGUUGUAAACCUCUUUUGCCGGGGAGCAACGGGCGUCACGUGUGGCGCCACUGAGAGUACCCGGAGAAAAAGCAUCGGCUAACUCCGUGCCAGCAGCCGCGGUAAUACGGAGGAUGCGAGCGUUAUCCGGAAUUAUUGGGCGUAAAGGGUGCGUAGAUGGCAUAGUAAGUCUUUUGUAAAAAUGCUGGGCUCAACCCAGUAGGGCAAAAGAUACUGCAAAGCUAGAGUAUGACAGAGGCAAGCGGAACUACAUGUGUAGCGGUAAAAUGCGUAAAUAUAUGUAAGAGCACCAGUGGCGAAGGCGGCUUGCUGGGUCGAUACUGACAUUGAGGCACGAAAGCGUGGGGAGCAAACAGGAUUAGAUACCCGAGUA
RNAcentral lists this ribosomal RNA (464 nucleotides) under uncultured bacterium. RNAcentral's name for it is "bacterial SSU rRNA". It matches the Rfam family "Bacterial small subunit ribosomal RNA", at positions 331 to 792 of the family's 1533-position model. The record is from RNAcentral.